GUUUUAUCAUGACUUGACAAUACAGGAAUAUCUUGCCCUUGCAUGAAUUGUUGUUGUCAUAUUUGAAAUGUAUGAUGUACUCAUAAUUUGAAGUAACUUUAAUUCGUGGUCAGGUUUUAUUUCCCAAGUCAUUAAAACUAAACAUUAGGUAUAUUUUCUCUGAUCAUAUAUGUAUAUAUAUAUCGAAAUAGAAGUUUGUAGCUUUUGAUGGCGAAAUGAAA
This 221-nucleotide unclassified non-coding RNA is filed under the name Hevea brasiliensis (rubber tree). The record is from RNAcentral. Lineage: Eukaryota; Viridiplantae; Streptophyta; Magnoliopsida; Malpighiales; Euphorbiaceae.